GGGGAUGUAGCUCAACGAUAGAGCGCACAGUAAAAGUCAGGCAUGGCGCGUCGGCAGUAAUGAGACUCAAAGUGUUUGGUUUAGCGAACUUCUGUGAGGUGCUGGUUCGAAUCCAGCCGUCUCCA
This is a non-coding RNA of Hyaloscypha variabilis F, 125 nucleotides long. NCBI's taxonomy places the organism in Eukaryota, Fungi, Ascomycota, Leotiomycetes, Helotiales, Hyaloscyphaceae. The record is from the annotation of a GenBank genome assembly.